CCAACACUUUGAGCAAUUGUGUUAAGCAGGAGCGCCCCGGCAUAAAAUCAUGUUGUUUCGUCUCCAAUAUGUUGGAACAAAAAAUUAUCUGAGUUUCUACAAAAAGAGUAACAGGGUUAUUUUGUUUACAUUUUACAGUUCCAAUUGGUUGUUAUUGUAGUGUUAAAACAACUACCAUAUUGCUGCCUCGCUGAUCAUGGUUAAUGAAGAUCCUUGUGUCAUUUAUCGAGGACAGUGACGUUAAGAUGUAAGAUGUGGGCAACAAGACGAAGGUUUGUUUUGGUUCACGGGUCUCUUGCUGCACCACAUUGGAAACUUUCUGCUAUAACAUAAGAUACUGUGAUGUCACAUCUCAAGACCAAG
This is a long non-coding RNA of Homarus americanus (American lobster), 363 nucleotides long. RefSeq lists it as uncharacterized. The record is from RefSeq and is a predicted model, not a curated record. The transcript has 3 exons. Lineage: Eukaryota; Metazoa; Arthropoda; Malacostraca; Decapoda; Nephropidae.